Molecule: transfer RNA, 28 nt
Filed under: Saccharomyces cerevisiae YJM320
Lineage: Eukaryota; Fungi; Ascomycota; Saccharomycetes; Saccharomycetales; Saccharomycetaceae
Description: tRNA-Tyr
Source: RNAcentral
CCAAAAAAUUUGGUUUAUUUCAAAGAAA